Molecule: non-coding RNA, 31 nt
Filed under: Homo sapiens (human)
Lineage: Eukaryota; Metazoa; Chordata; Mammalia; Primates; Hominidae
Source: RNAcentral
UAGCAGUUACUACCCAUUUCCAACCCCAGCC